This is a long non-coding RNA of Cottoperca gobio, 1200 nucleotides long. RefSeq lists it as uncharacterized. The transcript has 2 exons. NCBI's taxonomy places the organism in Eukaryota, Metazoa, Chordata, Actinopteri, Perciformes, Bovichtidae. The record is from RefSeq and is a predicted model, not a curated record.
AGGACUCCAUCAAACUGGAUGUGUGAACAAACCUGCCCGAGGAAGACAGCAAGGUGAAAGAGGAGCAGCUGCACAGUGUGAAGUAUAUUUAUGGAGCUUCACCACAGAAUCAAAUGUAGUUAUUGGUAAUUGUUUGCCUGGGACCGACCUGCAGGCUCAGCUUGUAUUAGCUCAGAUCAACUGGUCCUCCUGCUGGAGAGACGAGUGGAAGAUGGAGCAGUUCAUAUCUAGAGAUUUGAUAAUGUUGCUAAAUGCCUUGUGGUGUAAUGAACUUGUAAGCUUGAACAAAGUGCAUCAACCUGUUCACCUUUCAUAAGUUCUCUUGCUGGAGUUCUGAUAUACACUUGUACUUGUUUAAACUUCAUCAGACUUCUUGUUUUUGAUACUCAUCGUCUCAUCUUAAACAUUAUUCUUCAUUUCUACAUUAAACUGCGUAUUAGUGGAAGUACUUUGUGAUUUGAAGAGAACAUUUAGUUCUCAGAGGAGACGACUCCUGAUGAUGUCAUCAAGAGAAAAGGAAUAGAAGGGAUUUUAUUUGUAUCUUUUAUCAUUUAGUUUGUAAGUUUUAUGCAUUAUGAGAACAUUGUGUUAAGAUGUUCCUUUGUUAUGGUUUGUAACUUCAUAAUGUGCUUUCCUUGUGUUUUUAUAUGCACACAUUGUAGAUGUGUUUGUCUCAGGAGUUUCCCACGCGUCCCAGCCGGGCACAGCGAGUGUUAUCAGGAGGUGUUUCAAGUCUCUCUCUCUCAGUGGGGGGCAGAGGACCAGGGCUCAGUCGCAGGUUAUUGGGCUCGUAUACUUUAUGGCACCCAACCAUCUGGGGGUACAGGGCCUGUUGCUCUGUACCAGGGGUCUCCAACUCUUCUUCAUCUGAGAGAUACUUUAACUCAUGAAUUAUUCAUGUUUACUCAUGAAGUUAAAGAAUAUAUUACAUUAUAACUUUUAAAGACUAAAACUAAUAACUUUCUAACUUCAUGGUGAACUCUUUAAAGAAGAAGAACGUAAGUGUUUCUCAUUAUAAUGACAUAUUACUGAAGUUGAUUUAUUCCAGCUCUAUUUCAUAUUUCUUAUUGUUGUUAUGCAUUUAUUUGUAUUCUUCUUCUUGUUUCUCUGUUUAUGUUGAGUACAUGUCUCAACAUGUGUGUAUUUGAAGGUUUUUCUAUUAGAAUUGAAGGAUUAAAAACAUCAUUCAUGUUCUCCUCA